GACGAACGCUGGCGGCGUGCUUAACACAUGCAAGUCGAACGGAAAGGCCCUAGUUUUGUGGGGUACUCGAGUGGCGAACGGGUGAGUAACACGUGGGUAACCUGCCCUUUACUUUGGGAUAACUUCAGGAAACUGGGGCUAAUACCGGAUAGGAGCUCCUGCUGCGUGGUGGGGUUUGGAAAGUUUCGGCGGUUGGGAAAGGUCUCGGGGCUUUUACUCUUGUUGGUGGGUUAGUGGCUUCCCAAGGCUUUGAGGGGUACCGGGCUGGAGAGGGUGACGGCCAACAUGGGGAUGGAGAUCCGGCCAAGACCCUUAGGGGAGGAAGCAGUGGGGAAUAUUGCACAAGGGGCGGAAGCCUGUGGCAGCACGGCGGCGGGCGGGAUGACGGCCUUGGGUUUGUAACCCGCUUUCGCCUGGGACGAGGCGUGAGUGACGUUACUGGGUAAAGAAGCACCGGCUAACUACGU
RNAcentral lists this ribosomal RNA (467 nucleotides) under uncultured bacterium. RNAcentral's name for it is "partial 16S ribosomal RNA". It matches the Rfam family "Bacterial small subunit ribosomal RNA", at positions 28 to 506 of the family's 1533-position model. The record is from RNAcentral.